RNAcentral lists this ribosomal RNA (462 nucleotides) under uncultured bacterium. RNAcentral's name for it is "partial 16S ribosomal RNA". It matches the Rfam family "Bacterial small subunit ribosomal RNA", at positions 28 to 507 of the family's 1533-position model. The record is from RNAcentral.
GACGAACGCUGGCGGCGUGCUUAACACAUGCAAGUCGAACGGAAAGGCCCUUCGGGGUACUCGAGUGGCGAACGGGUGAGUAACACGUGGGUGAUCUUCCCUGCACUUUGGGAUAAGCCUGGGAUACUGGGUCUAAUACCGAAUAGGACUACGCGCUCCAUGUUGAGUGGUGGGAUGCUUUUGCGGUGUGGGAUGGGCCCGCGGCCUAUCAGCUUGUUGGUGGGGUAAUGGCCUACCAAGGCGACGACGGGUAGCCGGCCUGAGAGGGUGACCGGCCACACUGGGACUGAGAUACGGCCCAGACUCCUACGGGAGGCAGCAGUGGGGAAUAUUGCACAAUGGGCGCAAGCCUGAUGCAGCGACGCCGCGUGAGGGAUGACGGCCUUCGGGUUGUAAACCUCUUUCAAUAGGGACGAAGCGCAAGUGACGGUACCUAGAGAAGAAGCACCGGCCAACUACGUG